GUGACGUUCGGGAUGAAGUGGUUGAUGCGGUCGCCCAUCAAGGCCCAGCUGCGUUUGCCGUCGCUGACGAUCUGGACACCGCGCCGUUUGAACCGCUU
This is a non-coding RNA of Mycobacterium avium, 98 nucleotides long. The record is from Rfam. Lineage: Bacteria; Bacillati; Actinomycetota; Actinomycetes; Mycobacteriales; Mycobacteriaceae.